GAGGGUAUAGCUCAGUGGUAGAGUGUAUGCUUAGCAUGCAGGAGGUCUUGGGUUCAAGCCUCAGUACUCUCA
This 72-nucleotide transfer RNA is filed under the name Camelus bactrianus (Bactrian camel). It matches the Rfam family "tRNA". From Rfam's summary of the family: Transfer RNA (tRNA) molecules are approximately 80 nucleotides in length. Their secondary structure includes four short double-helical elements and three loops (D, anti-codon, and T loops). Lineage: Eukaryota; Metazoa; Chordata; Mammalia; Artiodactyla; Camelidae. RNAcentral also lists the same sequence under 2 other names. The record is from Rfam by way of RNAcentral.